AGAAUGAACCGGCGAGUUACGAUUUGAUGCAAGGUUAAGCAGUAAAUGUGGAGCCGUAGCGAAAGCGAGUCUGAAUAGGGCGUUUAGUAUUUGGUCGUAGACCCGAAACCAGGUGAUCUACCCUUGGUCAGGUUGAAGUUCAGGUAACACUGAAUGGAGGACCGAACCGACUUACGUUGAAAAGUGAGCGGAUGAACUGAGGGUAGCGGAGAAAUUCCAAUCGAACCUGGAGAUAGCUGGUUCUCUCCGAAAUAGCUUUAGGGCUAGCCUCAAGUGAUGAUUAUUGGAGGUAGAGCACUGUUUGGACGAGGGGCCCCUCUCGGGUUACCGAAUUCAGACAAACUCCGAAUGCCAAUUAAUUUAACUUGGGAGUCAGAACAUGGGUGAUAAGGUCCGUGUUCGAAAGGGAAACAGCCCAGACCACCAGCUAAGGUCCCAAAAUAUAUGUUAAGUGGAAAAGGAUGUGGCGUUGCCCAGACAACUAGGAUGUUGGCUUAGAAGCAGCCAUCAUUUAAAGAGUGCGUAAUAGCUCACUAGUCGAGUGACACUGCGCCGAAAAUGUACCGGGGCUAAACAUAUUACCGAAGCUGUGGAUUGUCCUUUGGACAAUGGUAGGAGAGCGUUCUAAGGGUGUUGAAGCAUGAUCGUAAGGACAUGUGGAGCGCUUAGAAGUGAGAAUGCCGGUGUGAGUAGCGAAAGACGGGUGAGAAUCCCGUCCACCGAUUGACUAAGGUUUCCAGAGGAAGGCUCGUCCGCUCUGGGUUAGUCGGGUCCUAAGCUGAGGCCGACAGGCGUAGGCGAUGGAUAACAGGUUGAUAUUCCUGUACCACCUAUAAUCGUUUUAAUCGAUGGGGGGACGCAGUAGGAUAGGCGAAGCGUGCGAUUGGAUUGCACGUCUAAGCAGUAAGGCUGAGUAUUAGGCAAAUCCGGUACUCGUUAAGGCUGAGCUGUGAUGGGGAGAAGACAUUGUGUCUUCGAGUCGUUGAUUUCACACUGCCGAGAAAAGCCUCUAGAUAGAAAAUAGGUGCCCGUACCGCAAACCGACACAGGUAGUCAAGAUGAGAAUUCUAAGGUGAGCGAGCGAACUCUCGUUAAGGAACUCGGCAAAAUGACCCCGUAACUUCGGGAGAAGGGGUGCUCUUUAGGGUUAACGCCCAGAAGAGCCGCAGUGAAUAGGCCCAAGCGACUGUUUAUCAAAAACACAGGUCUCUGCUAAACCGUAAGGUGAUGUAUAGGGGCUGACGCCUGCCCGGUGCUGGAAGGUUAAGAGGAGUGGUUAGCUUCUGCGAAGCUACGAAUCGAAGCCCCAGUAAACGGCGGCCGUAACUAUAACGGUCCUAAGGUAGCGAAAUUCCUUGUCGGGUAAGUUCCGACCCGCACGAAAGGCGUAACGAUUUGGGCACUGUCUCAACGAGAGACUCGGUGAAAUCAUAGUACCUGUGAAGAUGCAGGUUACCCGCGACAGGACGGAAAGACCCCGUGGAGCUUUACUGUAGCCUGAUAUUGAAAUUCGGCACAGCUUGUACAGGAUAGGUAGGAGCCUUUGAAACGUGAGCGCUAGCUUACGUGGAGGCGCUGGUGGGAUACUACCCUAGCU
RNAcentral lists this ribosomal RNA (1597 nucleotides) under Staphylococcus aureus. RNAcentral's name for it is "partial 23S ribosomal RNA". It matches the Rfam family "Bacterial large subunit ribosomal RNA", at positions 612 to 2210 of the family's 2925-position model. The record is from RNAcentral. Lineage: Bacteria; Bacillati; Bacillota; Bacilli; Caryophanales; Staphylococcaceae.